RNAcentral lists this ribosomal RNA (443 nucleotides) under uncultured bacterium. RNAcentral's name for it is "partial 16S ribosomal RNA". It matches the Rfam family "Bacterial small subunit ribosomal RNA", at positions 338 to 795 of the family's 1533-position model. The record is from RNAcentral.
CCUACGGGAGGCAGCAGUGGGGAAUAUUGGGCAAUGGGCGCAAGCCUGACCCAGCAACGCCGCGUGCAGGAAGAAGGCUUUCGGGUUGUAAACUUCUUUUGUCAGGGACGAAACAAGUGACGGUACCUGACGAAUAAGCCACGGCUAACUACGUGCCAGCAGCCGCGGUAAUACGUAGGUGGCAAGCGUUAUCCGGAUUUACUGGGUGUAAAGGGCGUGUAGGCGGGACUGCAAGUCAGAUGUGAAAACCACGGGCUCAACCUGUGGCCUGCAUUUGAAACUGUGUUUCUUGAGUGCUGGGGAGGCAAUCGGAAUUCCGUGUGUAGCGGUGAAAUGCGUAGAUAUACGGAGGAACACCAGUGGCGAAGGCGGAUUGCUGGACAGUAACUGACGCUGAGGCGCGAAAGCGUGGGGAGCAAACAGGAGUAGAUACCCCAGUAGUC